GUCCGUGCCGCAGCGGAAGCUUGCGGCUCUUUCGUCGGCUAUCCUGCGCGCCAGCGUGUUCGCAUCGGCAUUGGCGAGCGCGUCGACAU
Molecule: small RNA, 89 nt
Filed under: Sinorhizobium meliloti 2011
Lineage: Bacteria; Pseudomonadati; Pseudomonadota; Alphaproteobacteria; Hyphomicrobiales; Rhizobiaceae
Description: putative ncRNA
Source: RNAcentral